RNAcentral lists this ribosomal RNA (482 nucleotides) under uncultured bacterium. Its description in RNAcentral is "partial 16S ribosomal RNA". It matches the Rfam family "Bacterial small subunit ribosomal RNA", at positions 30 to 507 of the family's 1533-position model. The record is from RNAcentral.
AUUGAACGCUGGCGGCAUGCUCUACACAUGCAAGUCGAACGGAAACAGGCCGCAAGGUGCUGACGAGUGGCGGACGGGUGCGUAAUGCAUCGGAACGGGCCCAGUCCUUGGGGGUAACUACUCGCAAGAGUAGCUAAUACCGCAUACGAGCUAUGGAUGUAAGCGGGGUACCGUAAGGCCUCGCGCGAUUGUAGCUGCCGAUGUUAGAUUAGGUAGUUGGUGAGGUAAAGGCUCACCAAGCCAACGAUCUGUAGCGGGUCUGAGAGGACGACCAGCCACACUGGAACUGAGACACGGCCCAGACUCCUACGGGAGGCAGCAGUGGGGAAUUUUGGACAAUGGGCGAAAGCCUGAUGCAGCAAUGCCGCGUGCAGGAAGAAGGCCUUCGGGUUGUAAAAUGCUUUUGUACGGAACGAAACGGCUCUGGUUAAUACCCGGGGCUAAUGACGGUACCGUAAGAAUAAGCACCGGCUAACUACGUG